UUGCUCUUCAGCCUCCACCACUAAGUCAGGGCCAUAAACUUGUCUCUCUCCCGCUUGGGACCAGUUCAAUGGUGUCCUGCAUCUUCGUCCAUACAAUGCUUCAAACGGUGCCAUAUUCAAGCUGGUUUGGUAGCUAUUGUUGUAGGAGAAUUCUGCCAAUGGCAUGCACUUGUCCCAUUCAAAAAGAAAGCAAGGAGAGAGAAGGAUCAUACAAAAAGGAGUCCAUACA
RNAcentral lists this long non-coding RNA (229 nucleotides) under Setaria viridis. Its description in RNAcentral is "long non-coding RNA (SVIR_LNC007006)". Lineage: Eukaryota; Viridiplantae; Streptophyta; Magnoliopsida; Poales; Poaceae. The record is from RNAcentral.